Long non-coding RNA from Acinonyx jubatus (cheetah), 549 nucleotides. RefSeq lists it as uncharacterized. The record is from RefSeq and is a predicted model, not a curated record. The transcript has 2 exons. Lineage: Eukaryota; Metazoa; Chordata; Mammalia; Carnivora; Felidae.
GCCUCGUGCGGCGCUCGGGCCGGAGCUGUUCCCGCACAGUCACGUGGCGGCAGGCGUUGGCCACAAUUUCAGGCCGUGGCUGUGUUAGGGACGCUCGCAGGACGUUGCAAGACCACGUCUUCCGAAAACGAGGAUCGCUCGGUCUGUGAAGAAAACUUUCGGGACACAAGCAUGUACCGAAGGCGCCAUGAAAAACGACCGAAUGGAUUCAGCGUAAAAAGUCAUCUAUUUGGAGGGACCCUGCCAUCGGUGUCAUUGUGGGAAGCCGAGUGAGGCACGACAAUUGGGAGGCGUACGUGUAACGCUGGCGUCACAACAGUUUCAGCCGCUGUUUUCAGGUGUCUGCCCGGCUUCUGUUCUGUCCUGCUUCCUACGCUGUUCCACGACAGGAAGUCAGAAGAAAAUGGGCCUCAAGACCACGUUUGGCUUAUAUGCCGUGGAGAGGACUCCUCAAUCUGGACAUUUAUUCAGAUUUUCAGAUAAGAGCCAGGCCCUGUGCCUUUCUGUCUCCUCAGAGUCACAGUUGAUAUUAAAAACUACUUGACAGCA